This 546-nucleotide unclassified non-coding RNA is filed under the name uncultured Prochlorococcus sp. Its description in RNAcentral is "partial 16S-23S ribosomal RNA intergenic spacer". The record is from RNAcentral. Lineage: Bacteria; Bacillati; Cyanobacteriota; Cyanophyceae; Synechococcales; Prochlorococcaceae.
GAAGUUGGAGAGAAUGGGAGGUAUAGAUCCAUUAUAUUCAGGCACACAGAGGCGAUGAACAUCGGCAUCUCACCUUCUUACUUUCUNAANAAUUUCAUUCCCCAAGCUUUUCUAGGACACCCCCCUUAUUCUUCCUGGNCCAUUAAAUCAGGNGGNANACCGCACCCCUGAUAAGGGUGAGGUCCCNGGUUCAAGACCCGGAUGGCCCACAUAUCUAUGUUGGCCGCUAGCUCAGNUGGUAGACCGCCCGUUUUNAAGCGGGAUGUCAUGGGUCAAGNCCCCUUUCCCCCNCUGAUUCCCCCCUCUUUUAUAUUCCAUAGAAAGGAAAUAUUUUGAGGUGNNGNCUUCAUACUGAACGAAUCUAGAUUCCCAAAGAAACCAUCAUCAUGCUGGACUCAUUCAAUUCAUUUCCUGUUUUCCGAGAACCUUGCACACUGCCUACAUCAUAUUUUCAGANAANACCAUCCUUUAUGACGCNGAGUUAUUAUUUGCGCCGACGCCUUACUAACAAUACUAUUANGCUGAUGCUNCACAUCUGAAGUUAUU